ACCCCUGGUGCAUAGCCUACCUUUCCUGCAACUUCCUGAAGAAGUUGCAGGAAAGGUAAUUGGUAAAAGAUAAUUGGUAUUGGAAACGUAUUGGGGAAAAAAACUUUUUUAAUCUUAUUUAUCACAGAAUGUGCCAGAUGUAUGCCUUGGAUUUUUUUUUCUUGAUGCCCAUUCAUUUCCAUGUAGGCUACUUUCAAGGCUGCAUAAUGAGGUUUAUGGGUAAUAGAAGAAGUCCGAACCAAGCUAACAGACACCGUCUUAUUAUCAGGAUUACAAAUUCAGCAGUUUGGACUUCUGUUUGUGUCCACCUGUUAAUCUAACUUUGUCUGUUUGGUGCUGGGCGGAGAUACCUGGCGCAUUCCAAGUAUCUGGCUGCAUGCUCAAACUUUUUUUUUACCAGUUUGAGGCUCCCAAGAGGAUCCUUACAGACCAGGGAAAGGAGUUUGUAAAUCAGAUCAACACUGAUGUCUUCAAGAUCCUUGGGAUAAAAAGAAGCCUUUGUGCCCCUUAUCAUCCUCAAACCAAUGGUCUUGUUGAGAAAAUGAAUUGUACCAUAUAAAGGCUGCUCAACACACCAUUGCCGCAAGCCACAUCAAAAACAGAAAGACCACAAAAUCAAAUUUCAAGGUGUGUGACAAAGUGUGUGCCAAAUGUGAGAACCCAGCGGCGAAAGGGCAGAAAGUUGGAGCCUGACUUCUUGGGGCCUUUCCCAGUCAUAACUCUACAGGACAAGAGUGCUGAUCUGGAAAGUGAGGGAGGUCGUGUUUUUCCUAAAAUCAACACCAACCACCUGAAAAUACACAAUUGAAGAAAGGGGAAAGAAUACCACAUAAGAUCCCCAACUCCACAGGGGUAACCUCUGCCUCGAUCCCUGCCUCCACCUCCACCCCUGCUUCAACCUCAACCUCUGACUCCAAAUCCAUCCUUGCCUCCAUCUCCACCCCUGCUUCAGUCUCUACUCCUACCUUAACCUAUGGUCUCCACUCCCAGCCCUGCCUCAACCUCUACCCAUUCCUCCAGAAGGGCAACCUAGACCUCUGACUCCACAUCCAUCUCUGCCUCCACCUCUGCUUCCACCUCUACUCCUGCUUCAACCGUGAGCUACACUGUAUCACCUACCACUGAUAAAUGUAUGUCUUUCUUUUACUCUACAGUAGUGACACCUGAUCAAACAGUUUGUCGAUGUGAAUUUAUAGAAAGGCAAUUGUUUUGGCAUUAUUACAAUGGCAGUACUUUUAGCUAAGAAGCAUUAUUUAUUUUAAUUACCUACAUUUAAAGCUAUAAUGCGUAGUUUCUGUCUCCCCAUGAGGAAUUCUUAGUAAUGACAACAACACUGUCAGCGCAUCCGUAUAAUACAGCCUUCUGUGACCGUGCACUGCCCCCACCCCUCCUCCACGCAGUUGCUAGUAGCCAAGCA
This is a long non-coding RNA of Perca flavescens (yellow perch), 1417 nucleotides long. RefSeq lists it as uncharacterized. The transcript is spliced from 4 exons. The record is from RefSeq and is a predicted model, not a curated record. NCBI's taxonomy places the organism in Eukaryota, Metazoa, Chordata, Actinopteri, Perciformes, Percidae.